Molecule: ribosomal RNA, 468 nt
Filed under: uncultured bacterium
Lineage: Bacteria
Description: partial 16S ribosomal RNA
Rfam family: Bacterial small subunit ribosomal RNA
Source: RNAcentral
AACGAACGCUGGCGGCAUGCCUAACACAUGCAAGUCGAACGGAACCGCCGUGCCUUUGUGCGCUCGGGGGGGGGAGGAGGGGGAAGCAACACGUGAGUAACGUACACUUCACUGUGGGGGGAGCUAAGGCAGGUGAAGCUAAUCGCAGAUAGGAGCUACCGCUGCAGGGUGGGCGCGGGAAGGUUUCGCCGGUUGGGAGUGGACAAGCCGCUUAUGAGCUUGUUGGUUGGGUAGUGGCUGACCAAGGCCUACAAGGAUAGCCGGCCUGAGAGGGUGACCGGCCACAUUGGGACUGAGAUACGGCCCAGACUCCUACGGGAGGCAGCAGUGGGGAAUCUUGCACAGUGGGCGGAAGCCUGAUGCAGCAACGCCGCGUGCGGGAUGACGGCCUUCGGGUUGUAAACCGCUUUCGCCUGUGACGAAGCGUGAGUGACGGUAAUGGGUAAAGAAGCACCGGCUAACUACGUG